RNAcentral lists this ribosomal RNA (434 nucleotides) under uncultured Clostridium sp. RNAcentral describes it as "partial 16S ribosomal RNA". It matches the Rfam family "Bacterial small subunit ribosomal RNA", at positions 341 to 792 of the family's 1533-position model. The record is from RNAcentral. Lineage: Bacteria; Bacillati; Bacillota; Clostridia; Eubacteriales; Clostridiaceae.
ACGGAAGGCAGCAGUGGGGAAUAUUGCACAAUGGGGGAAACCCUGAUGCAGCAACGCCGCGUGAAGGAAGACGGUCUUCGGAUUGUAAACUUUUGUUCUUAGUGAAGAUAUUGACGGUAGCUAAGGAGCAAGCCACGGCUAACUACGUGCCAGCAGCCGCGGUAAUACGUAGGUGGCAAGCGUUGUCCGGAAUUACUGGGUGUAAAGGGAGCGCAGGCGGGAAAUCAAGUUGGAUGUGAAAUGUCGGGGCUUAACCCCGGAACUGCAUCCAAAACUGAUUUUCUUGAGAGAAGUAGAGGUAGGCGUAAUUCCGAGUGUAGCGGUGAAAUGCGUAGAUAUUCGGAGGAACACCAGUGGCGAAGGCGGCCUACUGGGCUUUAACUGACGCUGAGGCUCGAAAGUGUGGGGAGCAAACAGGAUUAUAUUCCCUGGUA